AAUCAACGCUGGCGGCAUGCCUAACACAUGCAAGUCGAACGGGAAAGUGGGAGCAAUCCCAUGAGUAUAGUGGCGCACGGGUGAGUAACACGUGACUAACCUACCCUCGAGUGGGGAAUAACCCCGGGAAACCGGGGCUAACACCGCAUAAUACCGCAAGGUCAAAUGCGCAAGCAGCUUGAGGAGGGGGUCGCGGUUGAUUAGCUAGUUGGUAGGGUAAUGGCCUACCAAGGCAGUGAUCAAUAGCCGGCCUGAGAGGGCGCACGGCCACACUGGAACUGAAACACGGUCCAGACUCCUACGGGAGGCAGCAGGUGGGGAAUUUUGCGCAAGUGGGGGAAACCCUGACGCAGCAAUGCCGCGUGGAGGAUGAAGUCCUUUGGGAUGUAAACUCCUUUCGAUCGGGAAGAUAAU
This 414-nucleotide ribosomal RNA is filed under the name uncultured bacterium. RNAcentral's name for it is "bacterial SSU rRNA". It matches the Rfam family "Bacterial small subunit ribosomal RNA", at positions 32 to 452 of the family's 1533-position model. The record is from RNAcentral.